Molecule: ribosomal RNA, 253 nt
Filed under: uncultured bacterium
Lineage: Bacteria
Description: partial 16S ribosomal RNA
Rfam family: Bacterial small subunit ribosomal RNA
Source: RNAcentral
GACAGAGGGUGCAAACGUUGCUCGGAAUCACUGGGCGUAAAGGGCGUGUAGGCGGGAGAGAAAGUCGGGCGUGAAAUCCCUAGGCUCAACCUAGGAACUGCACUCGAAACUUCUUUUCUUGAGUGCCGGAGAGGAAAGCGGAAUACCUGGUGUAGAGGUGAAAUUCGUAGAUAUCAGGUGGAACACCAGUGGCGAAGGCGGGUUGCUGGGCUGACACUGACGCUGAAGCGCGAAAGCUAGGGGAGCGAACGGG